RNAcentral lists this ribosomal RNA (509 nucleotides) under uncultured Bacteroidales bacterium. RNAcentral's name for it is "bacterial SSU rRNA". It matches the Rfam family "Bacterial small subunit ribosomal RNA", at positions 8 to 507 of the family's 1533-position model. The record is from RNAcentral. Lineage: Bacteria; Pseudomonadati; Bacteroidota; Bacteroidia; Bacteroidales.
AGAGUUUGAUCCUGGCUCAGGAUGAACGCUAGCGGCAGGCUUAACACAUGCAAGUCGAGGGGCAUCGGGAGGAAAGCUUGCUUUCCUUGCCGGCGACCGGCGCACGGGUGAGUAACACGUAUGCAACCUGCCCUCUUCAGGGGGACAACCUUCCGAAAGGGAGGCUAAUCCCGCGUAUAUCGGUUUCGGGCAUCCGAGAUCGAGGAAAGAUUCAUCGGAAGAGGAUGGGCAUGCGGCGCAUUAGCUUGACGGCGGGGUAACGGCCCACCGUGGCGACGAUGCGUAGGGGUUCUGAGAGGAAGGUCCCCCACACUGGUACUGAGACACGGACCAGACUCCUACGGGAGGCAGCAGUGAGGAAUAUUGGUCAAUGGGAGAGAUCCUGAACCAGCCAAGCCGCGUGGGGGAAGACGGCCCUAUGGGUUGUAAACCUCUUUUGUCGGAGAACAAAACCCGGGACGUGUCCCGGACUGCGUGUAUCCGAAGAAAAAGCAUCGGCUAACUCCGUG